This 763-nucleotide long non-coding RNA is filed under the name Betta splendens (Siamese fighting fish). Its description in RNAcentral is "lncRNA (ENSBSLG00000001421.1)". The record is from RNAcentral. Lineage: Eukaryota; Metazoa; Chordata; Actinopteri; Anabantiformes; Osphronemidae.
AUGUGGCCUGACGUUACGCUCUCUGAGCCCAGCAGGGGGCGCCGUCUGAGCGCCGUGCGGCCGAGCUCAGGUGGAGCAGGUCGGGAGCAGCUGCCGAGGACAGGCUCCUCUCCAGAAAUGACCACGAGCAUAAGCAGGAGAGUUAGCAGCCUUCAGGUCCUGGCUGCGUGGGGGGAUUUCUCGCCUGGAGGACUUCAAAAGCUCACGAGGGCCAAAGGGAUUUACUUGGACCGGGCCGGGCCAGAGCAGCAGACGGGACAGUCUGGGCCGCUUCCACUGGGCAGAGACGGGUUUGGACCAGAGAGCAGACAGCGCUCCCAGGAUGAGGCCAAGGAACUCAUCUCUCCAAUCCAUUCAAGUCUCUCCAAAAAUAACAAUAUGUCAGAUGUUAGAAAGAUGCUUCCGAGAACAUUAAACUGGGCCGAGUGUGAGGAACCACGCAGAAUGUGUCUGGUAAUGAAUAGGAGCAGUUUCAGGCUGUGAUUCAGGCUUCACUCCCUCAGUUCUCACCUUUUCAUUGGUUCCACACGUUUUACUCUCAUGACUCAUGUUUGUUUGUCUUGUUUCAGCUCUGUUCACUGUUUCAUACAAGUGAUGAGUCUGCUUUGCUCAGUGACACAGUCAGUCUGAGUGAUUCCAUGUUGCAUUUGUCUCCAAAGCAGCUGCUGGAGGACAGAUGGACCAACUCCAGUCACAGGCUGAGGCUCAAGGGCACGAAUAUUAAAAACCAUGCAAAAGGUAACAAACAGCAUAUUUAUUCUCA